This 440-nucleotide ribosomal RNA is filed under the name uncultured bacterium. Its description in RNAcentral is "partial 16S ribosomal RNA". It matches the Rfam family "Bacterial small subunit ribosomal RNA", at positions 338 to 795 of the family's 1533-position model. The record is from RNAcentral.
CCUACGGGGGGCAGCAGUGGGGAAUAUUGCACAAUGGGGGAAACCCUGAUGCAGCGACGCCGCGUGAGUGAAGAAGUAUCUCGGUACGUAAAGCUCUAUCAGCAGGGAAGAAAAUGACGGUACCUGACUAAGAAGCACCGGCUAACUACGUGCCAGCAGCCGCGGUAAUACGUAGGGGGCAAGCGUUAUCCGGAUUUACUGGGUGUAAAGGGAGCGUAGACGGCAGCACAAGUCUGGAGUGAAAUCCCGGGGCUUAACCCCGGAACUGCUUUGGAAACUGGGCGGCUGGAGUGCAGGAGGGGGGAGCAGAAUUCCUAGUGUAGCGGUGAAAUGCGUAGAUAUUAGGAGGAACACCGGUGGCGAAGGCGGCUUACUGGACUGUAACUGACGUUGAGGCUCGAAAGCGUGGGGAGCAAACAGGAUUAGAUACCCGUGUAGUC